GACGAACGCUGGCGGCGUGCUUAACACAUGCAAGUCGAACGGAAAGGCCCUGCUUUUGUGGGGUGCUCGAGUGGCGAACGGGUGAGUAACACGUGAGUAACCUGCCUUUGACUUUGGGAUAACUUCAGGAAACUGGGGCUAAUACCGGAUAGGAGCUCCUGCUGCAUGGUGGGGGUUGGAAAGUUUCGGCGGUUGGGGAUGGACUCGCGGCUUAUCAGCUUGUUGGUGGGGUAGUGGCUUACCAAGGCUUUGACGGGUAGCCGGCCUGAGAGGGUGACCGGCCACAUUGGGACUGAGAUACGGCCCAGACUCCUACGGGAGGCAGCAGUGGGGGAUAUUGCACAAUGGGCGGAAGCCUGAUGCAGCAACGCCGCGUGCGGGAUGACGGCCUUCGGGUUGUAAACCGCUUUCGCCUGUGACGAAGCGUGAGUGACGGUAAUGGGUAAAGAAGCACCGGCUAACUACGUG
This 468-nucleotide ribosomal RNA is filed under the name uncultured bacterium. RNAcentral's name for it is "partial 16S ribosomal RNA". It matches the Rfam family "Bacterial small subunit ribosomal RNA", at positions 28 to 507 of the family's 1533-position model. The record is from RNAcentral.